RNAcentral lists this ribosomal RNA (213 nucleotides) under Proteus mirabilis. RNAcentral describes it as "partial 23S ribosomal RNA". It matches the Rfam family "Bacterial large subunit ribosomal RNA", at positions 1 to 206 of the family's 2925-position model. Lineage: Bacteria; Pseudomonadati; Pseudomonadota; Gammaproteobacteria; Enterobacterales; Morganellaceae. The record is from RNAcentral.
GGGUUGUGAGGUUAAGCGAAUAAGCGUACACGGUGGAUGCCUAGGCAAUCAGAGGCGAUGAAGGACGUGCUAAUCUGCGAAAAGCGUCGGUAAGGUGAUAUGAACCGUUAUACCCGACGAUAUCCGAAUGGGGAAACCCAGUAUCCAAUGGAUACUAUCAUUAACUGAAUUCAUAGGUUAAUGAGGCGAACCGGGAGAACUGAAACAUCUCAG